GACGAACGCUGGCGGCGUGCUUAACACAUGCAAGUCGAACGAAGAGCGAUGGAAGCUUGCUUCUAUCAAUCUUAGUGGCGAACGGGUGAGUAACGCGUAAUCAACCUGCCCUUCAGAGGGGGACAACAGUUGGAAACGACUGCUAAUACCGCAUACGAUCCAAUCUCGGCAUCGGGACUGGAUGAAAGGUGGCCUCUAUUUAUAAGCUAUCACUGAAGGAGGGGAUUGGGUCUGAUUAGCUAGUUGGAGGGGUAACGGCCCACCAAGGCGAUGAUCAGUAGCCGGUCUGGGAGGAGGGACGGCCACAUUGGGACUGAGACACGGCCCAGACUCCUACGGGGGGCAGCAGUGGGGAAACUUCCGAAAUGGACGAAAGUCUGACGGAGCAACGCCGCGUGGGUGAUGACGGCCUUCGGGUUGUAAAGCUCUGUUAAUCGGGACGAAUGGUUCUUGUGCGAAUAGUGCGAGGAUUUGACGGUACCGGAAUAGAAAGCCACGGCUAACUACGUG
RNAcentral lists this ribosomal RNA (510 nucleotides) under uncultured bacterium. RNAcentral's name for it is "partial 16S ribosomal RNA". It matches the Rfam family "Bacterial small subunit ribosomal RNA", at positions 28 to 507 of the family's 1533-position model. The record is from RNAcentral.